GUGGGGAAUCUUGCGCAAUGGGCGAAAGCCUGACGCAGCCAUGCCGCGUGAAUGAUGAAGGUCUUAGGAUUGUAAAAUUCUUUCACCGGGGACGAUAAUGACGGUACCUGGAGAAGAAGCCCCGGCUAACUUCGUGCCAGCAGCCGCGGUAAUACGAAGGGGGCUAGCGUUGCUCGGAAUUACUGGGCGUAAAGGGCGCGUAGGCAGACAGUUUAGUCAGAGGUGAAAGCCCAGGGCUCAACCUUGGAAUUGCCUUUGAUACUGGCUGUCUUGAUUACGGGAGAGGUGAGUGGAACUCCGAGUGUAGAGGUGAAAUUCGUAGAUAUUCGGAAGAACACCAGUGGCGAAGGCGACUCACUGGCCCGUUACUGACGCUGAGGCGCGAAAGCGUGGGGAGCAAACAGGAUUAGAAACCCGGGUAGUCC
This 425-nucleotide ribosomal RNA is filed under the name uncultured bacterium. RNAcentral's name for it is "partial 16S ribosomal RNA". It matches the Rfam family "Bacterial small subunit ribosomal RNA", at positions 354 to 796 of the family's 1533-position model. The record is from RNAcentral.